RNAcentral lists this non-coding RNA (23 nucleotides) under Cricetulus griseus (Chinese hamster). The record is from RNAcentral. Lineage: Eukaryota; Metazoa; Chordata; Mammalia; Rodentia; Cricetidae.
GAUCGUAGGCUCGAAUGUGGUAC